CCAAUUUAUUUAUACAACAUAAAAUAAUAUAUAUCUUUGUUUAAUACAUGUCAAUAUAUAUUUUAUUUUUUAUGUUAUUUAAACAACACAUUCAAAAACACCAAUAUUUAAAAAACAUAAAAAUAAAAUCGAAGUUUAAAGUAUAAAAAUAAAAACCCUGGCAAUAACCUACUCUCCCGCGA
RNAcentral lists this unclassified non-coding RNA (182 nucleotides) under Borreliella burgdorferi (Lyme disease spirochete). RNAcentral describes it as "5S-23S ribosomal RNA intergenic spacer". The record is from RNAcentral. Lineage: Bacteria; Pseudomonadati; Spirochaetota; Spirochaetia; Spirochaetales; Borreliaceae.